This 966-nucleotide long non-coding RNA is filed under the name Mus musculus (house mouse). RNAcentral's name for it is "long non-coding RNA chr2:106732991-106733957". Lineage: Eukaryota; Metazoa; Chordata; Mammalia; Rodentia; Muridae. The record is from RNAcentral.
GCUCUCUGACCCUGCUUCCAUUCCCUGAGGAAGGCAGCACCCUCAUGACCAGGUGUCCCUGCCUUUUUGAAUGUUUGCUUUUCUUUAGGUGCACGUGCGCACACUUGUAACCUAUCCUCUAAAGAUCCAGAUAGUAAAUAUUUUAGGCUUUAUAGUCCAUGUGGUAUUUGUUGCAAGUAUAAAACUCCACCCUGGUAUAUUGAAAGCAGCCAUAGACAAUAUUUAAACAAGUGAAUGCGGUUGUUUGCCUGUUAAAUGUUACAAAACCAGGCAAUGGGCUGGAUUUUGCCUUUGGGCUAAGGUUUAUCACCACUAGAGCAAGAGAGGCUAAUUGGAAAGUGUGGAGAAGACUGAUUGCUCAGUGUUCUUACAGGUAGGCCUUGUCAGUGUCCUGCAACAGAGAAACCCAGGCAAAGCUUGGCUGGCAUGACAGAUGGCAUUGCCUGUGGUAUUGUUAGAAACAAACUGUGUGGCUUGCCUUUUGCUACUUUGUGGAUUCUUCUUUCUUCCAUUCUUGUCCACGUUUUUUCCCCCAACCCUUUCAGCCCCCUAACACUAGAUAAGAGAGAUAAAAGGAUGGAGAAGGAAGGAAAGAGAUCCUUAGGGGGUGACAUUAUCAUCAGACCACUUCCUGCUGAUUUGAGGUGUCUAGUUUCUUGGGGCAAGUUUGGUCUUUGCCAUCGGGAUAUCUAAUUUCUUCUUCUUGCUUCUUCUUUAAGCAUGACUUACUAAAUGAACCGUAACUAACAACGACCAACAACAACCAACAGCCAACAACCCACCAUGCCUCUCGGGAAGCUAGCAGUUAUAUACCCUCUGAAAAGACCCCAGAUAUCACACAACUGCAGAAACUACAUGCAGCUGGAAAUAAAUAAACAAAUAAAUAAAUCACACCCCUGCUAGAACGUGAGGCAAAUCAUGAAGCAACCGUAUAUUGCCACCCCUGGGAUUAAAACAAAACAAAAC